CCGCGGUCACCCGUGCUAAGGUAGCAUAAUAAAUAGCCUCUUAAUUAGUGGAUAGAAUGAAUGGAUAAACGAAAGUUUUUCUGUCUCGAAUGUCUCCCUAAAAAUUAAUCUUUAGGUGAAGAAGCCUAAAUGAAAUUAAAGGACAAAAAGACCCCGUAGAGCCUUAUUUAACUUUAGAAACAGCCACUAUGCUUACCACCUAAACUCAAAUCUAGUUGGGGCGACUCAGGAAUACCAAAACCUUCCUGCCACCAAAAGACCCAUUGAUCCAAUAUUGAUCCAAAAACCUGAUUAACAAAAUAGGCUACCUCGGGGAUAACAGACUAAUCCUUCUCAAAAGACCUAAUUAACAGAAGGGGUUAGCACCUCGAUGUUGGCUUAGGGGCCCCCUAGAAGUGCAGGAGCUUCUCUGGGAGGUUCGUUCAACCUUCAAUUCCCUCCGUGAUU
RNAcentral lists this ribosomal RNA (447 nucleotides) under Paradoneis armata. Its description in RNAcentral is "partial 16S ribosomal RNA". It matches the Rfam family "Bacterial large subunit ribosomal RNA", at positions 1931 to 2605 of the family's 2925-position model. The record is from RNAcentral. Lineage: Eukaryota; Metazoa; Annelida; Polychaeta; Paraonidae.